UACGAAGGGGGCUAGCGUUGUUCGGAAUGACUGGGCGUAAAGGGCGCGUAGGCGGCGAUUUUAGUCAGGCGUGAAAGCCCUGGGCUUAACCUAGGAACUGCGUUUGAUACUGGAUUGCUUGAGUGUGGGAGAGGAUGGUGGAAUUCCCAGUGUAGAGGUGAAAUUCGUAGAUAUUGGGAAGAACACCGGUGGCGAAGGCGGCCAUCUGGACCAUUACUGACGCUGAGGCGCGAAAGCGUGGGGAGCAAACAGG
Molecule: ribosomal RNA, 253 nt
Filed under: uncultured bacterium
Lineage: Bacteria
Description: partial 16S ribosomal RNA
Rfam family: Bacterial small subunit ribosomal RNA
Source: RNAcentral